This is an RNA transcript of Marmota monax (woodchuck), 1640 nucleotides long. It is a transcript of the gene named glycine rich extracellular protein 1, with no coding region annotated. NCBI's taxonomy places the organism in Eukaryota, Metazoa, Chordata, Mammalia, Rodentia, Sciuridae. The record is from RefSeq and is a predicted model, not a curated record. The transcript has 27 exons.
GGUGUUUAAAGCUCCAAAGGGUGCCAAGCCUUCUCACUCCCUGGCAUCAUGGGCACCUGGGCCUUCCUCGCGGCCCUUUUCCUUCUCUGCCUGACUUCUGAGAGCCUACAAGGCGGCUUUGGGAGCCCAAAUGGCUACCGACAAGGCUACGGCACCUCCAGUGGGCUGGGAGCAGGAUUUGGGAAGGGGAAUCAGCUAAGAUCCCAGCCAGGCCCUCCAGCUCAGAAGGGCUAUGGAGCAGGCACUGGAGGGAGUGUGAAACCUCAGAGGCCAGGGUAUGGAAACAGGUAUAGGCUGGGAGCAGGACCCAUUCCAGGUGCUGCAGCCCAGCCAGGCUUUGGAGCGGGUAUGAAGCCCCAGAAGCCAGGAUAUGGAACUAGGAUGGCAGCUGGAGCCUUCCCAGGGGUGGGAGCCCUGCCUGGUCUGGGAGGAGGCGUGAAGUCUCAGAAAUCAGGAUUUGCCAAUGGAAAUGCCCUGGGGGCCCAGCCAGGUUCUGCAGUUCUGAGUGGCUUUGGAGCAGGCUUUGGAUGGGGUGGAAAACUCCAGAAGCCAGAAUUUGGAGUCAGGAAUGGACUGGGAGCUGUGGCCUUCCCAGGAGCUGGAGCCCAGCCAGGACCUAUAGUUCAAAAUGGUUACGGACCAGGAUAUGGAGGGGGCAUGAAGGCCCAAAAGUCAGGCCUGACAGUCCAGAACAGAUUCACAACAGGCUUUGGAGGGGUCAUGAAGCCCCAGAAGCCAGGUUACGGCAAUAGAAACGGAAUGGGAGCUGGCCUAGGCCCUGCAGCUCCAAAUGGCCAUGGACCAGGCUGUGGAGGGGGUGCAAAGCCCCAGAAAUCAGGUAUUGGGGAAGGCACACAGCCCCAGAAGCCAGGGUACACACCAGGGAAUGGCCAGGAGCUCCCACCAGGAUAUGGCAAUGGAAAUGGGCUGUCGACCCAGCCAGGUCCUUGCAGUGGGGGAGUCAUUCCACUGCUCCUCCCCAGGCCUCCCACUCCAGGAGUUCCUUCAGAUAAAGGGGGUGGCUGGAGCCAGGAAUCCCAGCCCUCUCCCCUAGUGCAGAAUGGCAAGUUCCCAGGCUUUGGUGGUGGUGACCUCCAGCUGCAGGAAGUUGGUGAGCCCUCCUGGCCCGACCCUCAGGUGGAGCUGGCUUCUCCCUUAUGGCGAGCCCCCUACUACUCCUCUCUCGUCUCUGCUGCUUUUUUAAUUUUCCUUCACAUAUUUGCUACCUGCUGUGCCAUAAUGGUGGCUGGAACUGUGAGUGAUCCUGUGUCAGGUGAGGGUCUGUCUGAAGUCAUGGGAGAAGAAGGAGCAGCUUUAGAAGCUGCCCAGAGGGAAGUCAGAGGUUUCCAGAGGCAGCAGCCGGAAUUUGAAGUUGCACUCUUGUUCCUGGACGAGGAUGGUGGGAGAGACCAGGCAGUGGAGUAGCUGAGAUGAGCCCUCUCCAAGUGGCCUCUGAGUUCUGAGUUAAUCUGCCUACCUUUCCUAUCACUAAAAGUUGGUCACCUGACUCCCCAUGCCAUCCCUGACUCCACCCUCCAAUCUGUCUCCUGCAGGUUUGGGUUAUGGGAAUGAUGCUCUGGGCACUGGGGUCUCCCUGGAGGCCUGCUGAAAGCAAGGGUUCCCUGAGGCCAACGACUUUA